Molecule: ribosomal RNA, 1570 nt
Filed under: Salinivibrio kushneri
Lineage: Bacteria; Pseudomonadati; Pseudomonadota; Gammaproteobacteria; Vibrionales; Vibrionaceae
Description: bacterial SSU rRNA
Rfam family: Bacterial small subunit ribosomal RNA
Source: RNAcentral
UAAUUGAAGAGUUUGAUCAUGGCUCAGAUUGAACGCUGGCGGCAGGCCUAACACAUGCAAGUCGAGCGGAAACGGCAGUAUUGAAGCUUCGGUGGAUUUACUGGACGUCGAGCGGCGGACGGGUGAGUAACGGCUGGGAACCUGCCCUGACGAGGGGGAUAACCGUUGGAAACGACGGCUAAUACCGCAUAAUGUCUUGAUUCGUUAGAGUCAGGACCAAAGGUGGCCUCUACAUGUAAGCUAUCGCGUUGGGAUGGGCCCAGUUAGGAUUAGCUAGUUGGUAAGGUAAUGGCUUACCAAGGCAACGAUCCUUAGCUGGUUUGAGAGGAUGAUCAGCCACACUGGGACUGAGACACGGCCCAGACUCCUACGGGAGGCAGCAGUGGGGAAUAUUGCACAAUGGGGGAGACCCUGAUGCAGCCAUGCCGCGUGUGUGAAGAAGGCCUUCGGGUUGUAAAGCACUUUCAGCAGUGAGGAAGGUCGUGUACUUAAUACGUGCACGGCUUGACGUUAGCUGCAGAAGAAGCACCGGCUAACUCCGUGCCAGCAGCCGCGGUAAUACGGAGGGUGCGAGCGUUAAUCGGAAUUACUGGGCGUAAAGCGCAUGCAGGCGGUUUGUUAAGUCAGAUGUGAAAGCCCGGGGCUCAACCUCGGAACCGCAUUUGAAACUGGCAGGCUAGAGUCUUGUAGAGGGGGGUAGAAUUUCAGGUGUAGCGGUGAAAUGCGUAGAGAUCUGAAGGAAUACCAGUGGCGAAGGCGGCCCCCUGGACAAAGACUGACGCUCAGAUGCGAAAGCGUGGGUAGCAAACAGGAUUAGAUACCCUGGUAGUCCACGCCGUAAACGCUGUCUACUUGGAGGUUGAGGUUUAAGACUUUGGCUUUCGGCGCUAACGCAUUAAGUAGACCGCCUGGGGAGUACGGCCGCAAGGUUAAAACUCAAAUGAAUUGACGGGGGCCCGCACAAGCGGUGGAGCAUGUGGUUUAAUUCGAUGCAACGCGAAGAACCUUACCUACUCUUGACAUCCAGCGAAGCCUUUAGAGAUAGAGGUGUGCCUUCGGGAGCGCUGAGACAGGUGCUGCAUGGCUGUCGUCAGCUCGUGUUGUGAAAUGUUGGGUUAAGUCCCGCAACGAGCGCAACCCUUAUCCUUGUUUGCCAGCACGUAAUGGUGGGAACUCCAGGGAGACUGCCGGUGAUAAACCGGAGGAAGGUGGGGACGACGUCAAGUCAUCAUGGCCCUUACGAGUAGGGCUACACACGUGCUACAAUGGCAGAUACAGAGGGCAGCGAAGCUGCGAAGUGGAGCGAAUCCCUUAAAGUCUGUCGUAGUCCGGAUUGGAGUCUGCAACUCGACUCCAUGAAGUCGGAAUCGCUAGUAAUCGUGGAUCAGAAUGCCACGGUGAAUACGUUCCCGGGCCUUGUACACACCGCCCGUCACACCAUGGGAGUGGGCUGCACCAGAAGUAGAUAGCUUAACCUUCGGGAGGGCGUUUACCACGGUGUGGUUCAUGACUGGGGUGAAGUCGUAACAAGGUAGCCCUAGGGGAACCUGGGGCUGGAUCACCUCCUUAC